GACGAACGCUGGCGGCGUGCCUAAUACAUGCAAGUAGAACGCUGAAGAGAGGAGCUUGCUCUUCUUGGAUGAGUUGCGAACGGGUGAGUAACGCGUAGGUAACCUGCCUUGUAGCGGGGGAUAACUAUUGGAAACGAUAGCUAAUACCGCAUAACAAUGGAUGACACAUGUCAUUUAUUUGAAAGGGGCAAUUGCUCCACUACAAGAUGGACCUGCGUUGUAUUAGCUAGUAGGUGAGGUAAUGGCUCACCUAGGCGACGAUACAUAGCCGACCUGAGAGGGUGAUCGGCCACACUGGGACUGAGACACGGCCCAGACUCCUACGGGAGGCAGCAGUAGGGAAUCUUCGGCAAUGGGGGCAACCCUGACCGAGCAACGCCGCGUGAGUGAAGAAGGUUUUCGGAUCGUAAAGCUCUGUUGUAAGUCAAGAACGGGUGUGAGAGUGGAAAGUUCACACUGUGACGGUAGCUUACCAGAAAGGGACGGCUAACUACGUGCCAGCAGCCGCGGUAAUACGUAGGUCCCGAGCGUUGUCCGGAUUUAUUGGGCGUAAAGCGAGCGCAGGCGGUUUGAUAAGUCUGAAGUAAAAGGCUGUGGCUCAACCAUAGUUCGCUUUGGAAACUGUCAAACUUGAGUGCAGAAGGGGAGAGUGGAAUUCCAUGUGUAGCGGUGAAAUGCGUAGAUAUAUGGAGGAACACCGGUGGCGAAAGCUGCUCUCUGGUCUGUAACUGACGCUGAGGCUCGAAAGCGUGGGGAGCGAACAGGAUUAGAUACCCUGGUAGUCCACGCCGUAAACGAUGAGUGCUAGGUGUUGGAUCCUUUCCGGGAUUCAGUGCCGCAGCUAACGCAUUAAGCACUCCGCCUGGGGAGUACGACCGCAAGGUUGAAACUCAAAGGAAUUGACAGAGGCCCGCACAAGCGGUGGAGCAUGUGGUUUAAUUCGAAGCAACGCGAAGAGCCUUACCAGGUCUUGACAUCCCGAUGCUAUUUCUAGAGAUAGAAAGUUACUUCGGUACAUCGGUGACAGGUGGUGCAUGGUUGUCGUCAGCUCGUGUCGUGAGAUGUUGGGUUAAGUCCCGCAACGAGCGCAACCCCUAUUGUUAGUUGCCAUCAUUCAGUUGGGCACUCUAGCGAGACUGCCGGUAAUAAACCGGAGGAAGGUGGGGAUGACGUCAAAUCAUCAUGCCCCUUAUGACCUGGGCUACACACGUGCUACAAUGGUUGGUACAACGAGUUGCGAGUCGGUGACGGCGAGCUAAUCUCUUAAAGCCAAUCUCAGUUCGGAUUGUAGGCUGCAACUCGCCUACAUGAAGUCGGAAUCGCUAGUAAUCGCGGAUCAGCACGCCGCGGUGAAUACGUUCCCGGGCCU
Molecule: ribosomal RNA, 1369 nt
Filed under: uncultured bacterium
Lineage: Bacteria
Description: bacterial SSU rRNA
Rfam family: Bacterial small subunit ribosomal RNA
Source: RNAcentral